This 253-nucleotide ribosomal RNA is filed under the name uncultured bacterium. RNAcentral describes it as "partial 16S ribosomal RNA". It matches the Rfam family "Bacterial small subunit ribosomal RNA", at positions 524 to 776 of the family's 1533-position model. The record is from RNAcentral.
UACGUAGGGUGCGAGCGUUAAUCGGAAUUACUGGGCGUAAAGCGUGCGCAGGCGGUUUCGUAAGCUGGAGGUGAAAUUUCCGGGUUUAACCUGGGAAUGGCCUUCAGGAAUGCGAGGCUAGAGUGCGGCAGAGGGAGGUGGAAUUCCACGUGUAGCAGUGAAAUGCGUAGAGAUGUGGAGGAACACCGAUGGCGAAGGCAGCCUCCUGGGCCAGCACUGACGCUCAUGCACGAAAGCGUGGGGAGCAAACAGG